CCACCUCUAAGAGUUGCGACUGUGAUCUUAUUGAAUUUACUUCAAACUGAUAUUUACACAAAAUGAACUGCAUUCUGAUAUACGGAUUUUCUCAUAUGCUUACCCUACUUACCAACUACUUACCGACUUCCAAAGAGUUCCUUUUUAGGAUUUCAUUCGCCAACAGCUCAUAGGAUCUGAGCCACUCCCAAAUCUGCGCCGAGAUACACCCGCUGAAUGAAAGCCAACGCCCGCGGCACUGGAGCUUCACAUCGAUGUCUCCUGCGGUCAAGGCGAAAGGGCGAGACCGCUGUGGGUGGCGUCAGAAAAUCUUGCUGACACUGACCUUGAUGGUGACCUGUGCUGACCGUUGACCCGAACUGAGAUGGAGACGAUUUCCUGAGGUGCGCAUUCAGUCGUCAGCACGGAGGCGCAGAGGCAGUCACGGGGCGGGAAGUCCUCUGCGAAACGAAGACCCAGUCAGGGAACGUCAAGUGAUGUCACAGGAUGUCCCGAGAAGGUCAUCACAAGUGGACGACUCUACACACUCUUCGUCGCGCCAUGACCUCGGGGACUGGCUCUGUUAGGGACAUCUGGAGAGGUUUUUUCCACUCGCCGGCCAAAGGUUGCUUGGAGGCGACUGGAAUCUGCAACGCGACGCAGGUUCCCGCCACCUCCUUGCCACUGUGGCCGCGGAGUUUUUUCCCUGUCCAGCGGAGUUU
Penaeus vannamei (Pacific white shrimp) is the source of this 701-nucleotide non-coding RNA. The record is from RefSeq and is a predicted model, not a curated record. Lineage: Eukaryota; Metazoa; Arthropoda; Malacostraca; Decapoda; Penaeidae.